GACGAACGCUGGCGGCGUGCUUAACACAUGCGAGUCGAACGAAGAGCGACGGAAGCUUGCUUCUAUCAAUCUUAGUGGCGAACGGGUGAGUAACGCGUAAUCAACCUGCCCUUCAGAGGGGGACAACAGUUGGAAACGACUGCUAAUACCGCAUACGAUCUAACCUCGGCAUCGAGGAUAGAUGAAAGGUGGCCUCUACAUGUAAGCUAUCACUGAAGGAGGGGAUUGCGUCUGAUUAGCUAGUUGGAGGGGUAACGGCCCACCAAGGCGAUGAUCAGUAGCCGGUCUGAGAGGAUGAACGGCCACAUUGGGACUGAGACACGGCCCAGACUCCUACGGGAGGCAGCAGUGGGGAACCUUCCGCAAUGGACGAAAGUCUGACGGAGCAACGCCGCGUGAGUGAUGACGGCCUUCGGGUUGUAAAGCUCUGUUAAUCGGGACGAAAGGCCUUCUUGCGAAUAGUGAGAAGGAUUGACGGUACCGGAAUAGAAAGCCACGGCUAACUACGUG
Molecule: ribosomal RNA, 510 nt
Filed under: uncultured bacterium
Lineage: Bacteria
Description: partial 16S ribosomal RNA
Rfam family: Bacterial small subunit ribosomal RNA
Source: RNAcentral